This 190-nucleotide ribosomal RNA is filed under the name uncultured bacterium. Its description in RNAcentral is "partial 16S ribosomal RNA". It matches the Rfam family "Bacterial small subunit ribosomal RNA", at positions 1311 to 1500 of the family's 1533-position model. The record is from RNAcentral.
CUCGGCUGCAUGAAGCUGGAAUCGCUAGUAAUCGCAGAUCAGAAUGCUGCGGUGAAUACGUUCCCGGGUCUUGUACACACCGCCCGUCACACCAUGGGAGUUGGAAAUGCCCGAAGUCAGUGACCGAACCGAAAGGAAGGAGCUGCCGAAGGUGGAGCCGAUGACUGGGGUGAAGUCGUAACAAGGUAAC